GGCCAAAAAUGCUACGAGGAGUUGUAGUUCGAGUACGGAGGGGAUAUCUAUGAAUCAAAAUUCUACAAGAACAUGCCUUUUGACGACUUCGGCAUAUGAUCUCUCUCUCCAUGCCACACAUUCUCAGGCUUGUUAAUUUCAUUGUGGCCUACGCUUUCAAAACCAACCACGGCCCGUGCCGCUCUACGGCUUUUGGUCAAUUUUCAUCUUGUCAUUGGUGUUGACAACAUCGCGACUGAAUGUGGAUGUGGAUGUUGACGUUUACUUGUACCACGUAGGAAAGGAGGUCGGGGGGGAUGUCGUCAAGCCGAUAUUCAUGUUCAGGAAUAGGAAUAAAUGUGACGUGGGAUCGGUACUAUACUAGUACAUGUGCUGUACGUACUUAGAUUAAAUCUAUCGGCAAAUGCAUAAUACAUUGUUUUGACUUGGGCUUUGGAAUAGAGUUGAGUGAGUGAGUGAGAGAGAGAGAGGGUGUGUGUGUGUGUGUGUGUGCAGUACGCCCAAUCGUUUAGGGCAUCCAGUCGCACGAAAACGGCGAUUGCAAGGGAU
This 549-nucleotide small RNA is filed under the name Histoplasma capsulatum var. duboisii H88. Its description in RNAcentral is "Histoplasma capsulatum H88 hypothetical RNA". Lineage: Eukaryota; Fungi; Ascomycota; Eurotiomycetes; Onygenales; Ajellomycetaceae. The record is from RNAcentral.